RNAcentral lists this ribosomal RNA (380 nucleotides) under Leegaardiella sp. RNAcentral describes it as "partial small subunit ribosomal RNA". It matches the Rfam family "Eukaryotic small subunit ribosomal RNA", at positions 587 to 975 of the family's 1831-position model. The record is from RNAcentral. Lineage: Eukaryota; Ciliophora; Spirotrichea; Choreotrichida; Leegaardiellidae.
AGCUCCAAUAGCGUAUAUUAAAGUUGUUGCAGUUAAAAAGCUCGUAGUUGGAUUUCUGGCAGAGUGUCCUCCGUCCAGCAGUUCGUUUGGUUCGGAGCGCUCUACCAUCCUUCUGUUAACCUUUCCGGGAUUUACUUUUCGGGCUGGGGCUCAGAUAUUUUACCUUGAGAAAAUUAGAGUGUUUCAGGCAGGCUAUUCGCCGGAAUACAUUAGCAUGGAAUAAUGGAAAAGGACUGCAACCUCUUCUGUUGGUCUGGGAGGCUGAAGUAAUGAUUAAUAGGGAUAGUUGGGGGCAUUAGUACUUUCCAGUCAGAGGUGAAAUUCUCCAAUUUGGUAAAGACUAACUUAUGCGAAAGCAUUUGCCAAGGAUGUUUUCAUUA